Molecule: long non-coding RNA, 351 nt
Organism: Sipha flava (yellow sugarcane aphid)
Lineage: Eukaryota; Metazoa; Arthropoda; Insecta; Hemiptera; Aphididae
Exons: 2
Source: RefSeq, a predicted model, not a curated record
ACAAUCGUACAAAAAAACGCAAACGCGCAUCGAUCGUACGUAAUUACGUAGUGUUCUGCGACCGCGCCAAUAAGAUCGUGUGCACUAAAUGAAAUUGGUUCGGACUGUGUACACGGAUCGGAAACGGGCAACAGCAGGUUAGAAAAAGGGAUUAGAAAAAUAACACCAACAAUCUAUGUGAUGCGAUGGUCCGCGGAUGUCAGUAUAGUUGCUAUACGAAACACUAAAUUGCGUACUAUACGAAAUUUGAAAGUGUGUAACAAAAGUUUACUCGUACUAAUCGUACCAAGCCCGUAUACAGUUGUGUGUGGGAGGGGUUAGUGGUUCAACCUCCCCUCCAACAUUUUUAAA